UGGAAGAUGACUUGAUAGUAGAGAGCAUGCCUUAAAUGUAUGAAGCCCUGGGUUUGAUUCCCAGUACUCCAU
RNAcentral lists this transfer RNA (72 nucleotides) under Erinaceus europaeus (western European hedgehog). It matches the Rfam family "tRNA". From Rfam's summary of the family: Transfer RNA (tRNA) molecules are approximately 80 nucleotides in length. Their secondary structure includes four short double-helical elements and three loops (D, anti-codon, and T loops). The record is from Rfam by way of RNAcentral. Lineage: Eukaryota; Metazoa; Chordata; Mammalia; Eulipotyphla; Erinaceidae.